AAAAAAAAAAACUAUUGAAAUGUUAUAUUCCAACUAAAGUAGUAUCAUCGUCAUCCUCAUCAAACAAACAAACAAACGCUAUCCAUGGCAUGUAUCAAACCUUUGCAUUUGCUUAAACCAGCAAGAAUUGCGACUGAUUCUUUCUUCUUCAAUUUCACUAAAAAUGGUAUUUCCUCAUUCCCACUGGCAAUUAAGCCUAAGCAUUCGACAGCUCAGCGAAGUUACUAUGUGAAAUCGAGUGCUUUAGAGCCGCCUGAUAUUCCUCGUUUGGCUGAAAAAGCUCGGAUUUCGCUAACCCUUCAAGAAGUUGAAGAAUUCGCUCCCAAAAUUCGACAAGUUAUAGAUUGGUUUGGACAACUUCAAGCUGUCGAUCUGGAGAGUAUCGAACCAGCCAUAAGGGCAGAUACUGAGGGAGAUAAUUUGCGCGACGACAUACCUGAAAAGUUUGAGAAUAGGGAAGCAUUGAUUUCUGCUGUGCCAAGCUUUGAGGAGCCUUACAUCAAAGUUCCCAAAGUGUUGAAUAAGGAGUGACAUUAUUUAGGUCAUUUCGUUUCACUUCCAGGGGAAGACCAUAAUUUUAUAUAUUUUGAUCAGUAGAUGGAAGACCUGACAUCAUCCCUCCAAAAUCUUUUUCAAGAUGUAUCUUGAUGCAACAUGUAACACAGCUAUGCUACUGCUGCCUUAAAGAGGCAACAUGCUGUAGAGAAGUGAAUUUUAAAGUUUGGCAAUUGCAUAUGGAGGCAAGUUUGAUCUUGGAGGCAGCUUUAGGUCUUGCCAAUCUUCAUCAUCUAUCUUGGAGAAGUAAAGAUCAACAUCAUCAUCUGUAAUUAGUUCCAGUCUGGAGGGCUCCCACUUAGGAUUUCUAUCCUUGUCAAUGAGUAUGGCUCUGCAUCCCUCGAAAAAAUCUUUGCUGAAUUCUCCCCUAAUCACAUGACAAGCUAUCCUAUACUCUUGAAUAAGGCAACUACCAACACCUUGCAGCCUCCCCUCUCUUAGUGAUCUCAAUGAAAUCUUAAGACUUGUUGGGGAUGCUUUCUUCAGCGAUUGGAUGGUUGAAGAGAUCCAGUACUCAUCCUUCUUGUUCAAAGCCUCAUAAUUUUCAAGAGAAGAUAUGAUUUCUUCGAUUGUUCUCCGAGCGAAGCAAUGGUCAAUAAUCUUCAUCUUGUGAUAAGGACUUUCUGCUUUCAGCUUUGGUAUGUUAGAGAAGCGACUAAUGAUGGCAGAAAUAACAUCUGGAUCACUCGUAUUGACUUCAAUUAGUGCUUGUUCUAAAAAUGGCAACCUCUCCGAGGGUGCAAAAUGAGUUGCUAGACCACAAGCAAGCAUUUCAGCACCAUCUAACCUUGCACCGGUAAGACCAGCAUAUUCCCCGAAGAAUCCUGGAAGCCUUGAAUAAAAGUAAGAAGCACCUACAUCAGGAAUGAGUCCCAUAGCUGUUUCAGGCAUAGCACAAACCGACUUCUCUGUUGCAACCCGAAAUCUACCAUGUACAGAAGCACCAAGUCCGCAUGACAGAUCAUCUUAGAUAUGACAUGUUUGCUGGACAGUGCUGGAUUCACAUAUCAUGAAAUACUCAAGUUGACACCAGGCAAAGUCUCUCAGAGAUAUAUUGCAGGUGGAGAGUGAGAAGAAAUUAUUUCAGUGCUAUAUCAUAAAAACAGGAACACUUGCAAUAUAAGAUUUUUGUGUAAAUGAUAGACUUCUCCAAAAAAAAAAAAAGAAAAAAAAAAGAA
This is an RNA transcript of Lycium barbarum (goji berry), 1733 nucleotides long. It is a transcript of the gene named glutamyl-tRNA(Gln) amidotransferase subunit C, chloroplastic/mitochondrial-like, with no coding region annotated. Lineage: Eukaryota; Viridiplantae; Streptophyta; Magnoliopsida; Solanales; Solanaceae. The transcript is spliced from 6 exons. The record is from RefSeq and is a predicted model, not a curated record.